This is a non-coding RNA of Paramuricea clavata, 382 nucleotides long. NCBI's taxonomy places the organism in Eukaryota, Metazoa, Cnidaria, Anthozoa, Malacalcyonacea, Plexauridae. The record is from the annotation of a GenBank genome assembly.
GUCCUGAAGGGGGGGGGGUCCUAAUCCCAUUUCCCACCUGAAAUUUUGGCAAAAUCCCAGUCCCAGUUGGAUUUUUAUUAGAAAUCCCAGUCCCAGUUAUUGAAAUCCCAGUCAAUAAAAACCCCUUUAUUUAUUGGUAGAAUAAACAGUUUUAAGACCUUUUAAGCAAGUGGCGGACACUUUAUGAAAUAUUAGGGGGGUGCUCGUGCCGAAAGCACGGAAAAUUUUUAAAUUUGAAUCCCGGAAAUGGCAUUUGCAGCAUUCUGAGACACGCAUAAUCAGAAAACCCAGAAUUGCGGGCGCCAGAGUAUGCCUGUUCGCAGGUAGCGCUGUGAAUAAUAUAGUUAACAACAAAAAUCAUGACCAAAGACACCAAAAACGG